Molecule: ribosomal RNA, 120 nt
Filed under: Amblyomma ovale
Lineage: Eukaryota; Metazoa; Arthropoda; Arachnida; Ixodida; Ixodidae
Description: partial large subunit ribosomal RNA
Source: RNAcentral
UUUUUUUUGUGCAGAAACAACAAUAUUAAUUAAGGACAAGAAGACCCUAAGAAUUUUAAAAACUGUAAUUGUAAAACUAUUAAUUAUAGUUUUUUGAUUGGGGCGAUUGAUAAAUAUAGA